This 460-nucleotide ribosomal RNA is filed under the name uncultured bacterium. RNAcentral describes it as "partial 16S ribosomal RNA". It matches the Rfam family "Bacterial small subunit ribosomal RNA", at positions 338 to 795 of the family's 1533-position model. The record is from RNAcentral.
CCUACGGGGGGCAGCAGUGAGGAAUAUUGGUCAAUGGACGAGAGUCUGAACCAGCCAAGCAGCGUGAAGGAUGACUGCCCUAUGGGUUGUAAACUUCUUUUAUAUGGGAAUAAAACAGGGUAUGCAUACCCUCUUGUAUGUACCAUAUGAAUAAGGAUCGGCUAACUCCGUGCCAGCAGCCGCGGUAAUACGGAGGAUCCGAGCGUUAUCCGGAUUUAUUGGGUUUAAAGGGAGCGUAGGUGGAUUGUUAAGUCAGUUGUGAAAGUUUGCGGCUCAACCGUAGAAUUGCAGUUGAUACUGGCAGUCUUGAGGACAGUAGAGGUGGGCGGAAUUCGUGGUGUAGCGGUGAAAUGCUUAGAGAUCACGAAGAACUCCGAUUGCGAAGGCAGCUCACUGGACUACAACUGACACUGAUGCUCGAAAGUGUGGGUAGCAAACAGGAUUAGAUACCCCUGUAGUC